RNAcentral lists this ribosomal RNA (164 nucleotides) under uncultured bacterium. RNAcentral's name for it is "partial 16S ribosomal RNA". It matches the Rfam family "Bacterial small subunit ribosomal RNA", at positions 355 to 511 of the family's 1533-position model. The record is from RNAcentral.
UAGGGAAGUCUUCCACAAUGGGCGAAAGCCUGAUGGAGCAACGCCGCGUGUGUGAUGAAGGGUUCCGGCUCGUAAACACUGUUGUAAGAGAAGAAUGACAUUGAGAGUAACUGUUCAAUGUGUGACGGUAUCUUACCAGAAAGGAACGGCUAAAUACGUGCCAG